Molecule: ribosomal RNA, 419 nt
Filed under: Phycisphaerae bacterium
Lineage: Bacteria; Pseudomonadati; Planctomycetota; Phycisphaerae
Description: partial 23S ribosomal RNA
Rfam family: Bacterial large subunit ribosomal RNA
Source: RNAcentral
AGCGGCGGAGCGGUUUGGCACCUCGAUGUCGGCUCAUCACAUCCUGGGGCUGAAGGCGGUCCCAAGGGUUAGGCUGUUCGCCUAUUAAAGUGGUACGCGAGCUGGGUUCAGACCGGCGUGAGCCAGGUCGGUCCCUAUCUGUCGUGGGCGCUGCAAUACUGCGAGGAAACAUUUUUAGUACGAGAGGAUUGGAAUGGACGUACCCCUGGUGUGCCAGUUGGACCGCUCGGUCCACAGCUGGGUAGCUAAGUACGGCAGGGAUAACCGCUGAAAGCAUCUAAGCGGGAAGCCCCCCUCAAGAUAAGUAUUGCUUGUCGCAAGACGUGAGACCCCCGGAAGACUACCGGGUUGAUAGGCCGGACGUGUACGCAGAGAGAUCUGCUUAGCGAACCGGUACUAACGGUCAAAGACUUGGUCCC